RNAcentral lists this ribosomal RNA (2906 nucleotides) under Escherichia coli. RNAcentral's name for it is "23S ribosomal RNA". It matches the Rfam family "Bacterial large subunit ribosomal RNA". The record is from RNAcentral. Lineage: Bacteria; Pseudomonadati; Pseudomonadota; Gammaproteobacteria; Enterobacterales; Enterobacteriaceae.
GGUUAAGCGACUAAGCGUACACGGUGGAUGCCCUGGCAGUCAGAGGCGAUGAAGGACGUGCUAAUCUGCGAUAAGCGUCGGUAAGGUGAUAUGAACCGUUAUAACCGGCGAUUUCCGAAUGGGGAAACCCAGUGUGUUUCGACACACUAUCAUUAACUGAAUCCAUAGGUUAAUGAGGCGAACCGGGGGAACUGAAACAUCUAAGUACCCCGAGGAAAAGAAAUCAACCGAGAUUCCCCCAGUAGCGGCGAGCGAACGGGGAGCAGCCCAGAGCCUGAAUCAGUGUGUGUGUUAGUGGAAGCGUCUGGAAAGGCGCGCGAUACAGGGUGACAGCCCCGUACACAAAAAUGCACAUGCUGUGAGCUCGAUGAGUAGGGCGGGACACGUGGUAUCCUGUCUGAAUAUGGGGGGACCAUCCUCCAAGGCUAAAUACUCCUGACUGACCGAUAGUGAACCAGUACCGUGAGGGAAAGGCGAAAAGAACCCCGGCGAGGGGAGUGAAAAAGAACCUGAAACCGUGUACGUACAAGCAGUGGGAGCACAGAGCAAUCUGUGUGACUGCGUACCUUUUGUAUAAUGGGUCAGCGACUUAUAUUCUGUAGCAAGGUUAACCGAAUAGGGGAGCCGAAGGGAAACCGAGUCUUAACUGGGCGUUAAGUUGCAGGGUAUAGACCCGAAACCCGGUGAUCUAGCCAUGGGCAGGUUGAAGGUUGGGUAACACUAACUGGAGGACCGAACCGACUAAUGUUGAAAAAUUAGCGGAUGACUUGUGGCUGGGGGUGAAAGGCCAAUCAAACCGGGAGAUAGCUGGUUCUCCCCGAAAGCUAUUUAGGUAGCGCCUCGUGAAUUCAUCUCCGGGGGUAGAGCACUGUUUCGGCAAGGGGGUCAUCCCGACUUACCAACCCGAUGCAAACUGCGAAUACCGGAGAAUGUUAUCACGGGAGACACACGGCGGGUGCUAACGUCCGUCGUGAAGAGGGAAACAACCCAGACCGCCAGCUAAGGUCCCAAAGUCAUGGUUAAGUGGGAAACGAUGUGGGAAGGCCCAGACAGCCAGGAUGUUGGCUUAGAAGCAGCCAUCAUUUAAAGAAAGCGUAAUAGCUCACUGGUCGAGUCGGCCUGCGCGGAAGAUGUAACGGGGCUAAACCAUGCACCGAAGCUGCGGCAGCGACGCUUAUGCGUUGUUGGGUAGGGGAGCGUUCUGUAAGCCUGCGAAGGUGUGCUGUGAGGCAUGCUGGAGGUAUCAGAAGUGCGAAUGCUGACAUAAGUAACGAUAAAGCGGGUGAAAAGCCCGCUCGCCGGAAGACCAAGGGUUCCUGUCCAACGUUAAUCGGGGCAGGGUGAGUCGACCCCUAAGGCGAGGCCGAAAGGCGUAGUCGAUGGGAAACAGGUUAAUAUUCCUGUACUUGGUGUUACUGCGAAGGGGGGACGGAGAAGGCUAUGUUGGCCGGGCGACGGUUGUCCCGGUUUAAGCGUGUAGGCUGGUUUUCCAGGCAAAUCCGGAAAAUCAAGGCUGAGGCGUGAUGACGAGGCACUACGGUGCUGAAGCAACAAAUGCCCUGCUUCCAGGAAAAGCCUCUAAGCAUCAGGUAACAUCAAAUCGUACCCCAAACCGACACAGGUGGUCAGGUAGAGAAUACCAAGGCGCUUGAGAGAACUCGGGUGAAGGAACUAGGCAAAAUGGUGCCGUAACUUCGGGAGAAGGCACGCUGAUAUGUAGGUGAAGCGACUUGCUCGUGGAGCUGAAAUCAGUCGAAGAUACCAGCUGGCUGCAACUGUUUAUUAAAAACACAGCACUGUGCAAACACGAAAGUGGACGUAUACGGUGUGACGCCUGCCCGGUGCCGGAAGGUUAAUUGAUGGGGUUAGCGCAAGCGAAGCUCUUGAUCGAAGCCCCGGUAAACGGCGGCCGUAACUAUAACGGUCCUAAGGUAGCGAAAUUCCUUGUCGGGUAAGUUCCGACCUGCACGAAUGGCGUAAUGAUGGCCAGGCUGUCUCCACCCGAGACUCAGUGAAAUUGAACUCGCUGUGAAGAUGCAGUGUACCCGCGGCAAGACGGAAAGACCCCGUGAACCUUUACUAUAGCUUGACACUGAACAUUGAGCCUUGAUGUGUAGGAUAGGUGGGAGGCUUUGAAGUGUGGACGCCAGUCUGCAUGGAGCCGACCUUGAAAUACCACCCUUUAAUGUUUGAUGUUCUAACGUUGACCCGUAAUCCGGGUUGCGGACAGUGUCUGGUGGGUAGUUUGACUGGGGCGGUCUCCUCCUAAAGAGUAACGGAGGAGCACGAAGGUUGGCUAAUCCUGGUCGGACAUCAGGAGGUUAGUGCAAUGGCAUAAGCCAGCUUGACUGCGAGCGUGACGGCGCGAGCAGGUGCGAAAGCAGGUCAUAGUGAUCCGGUGGUUCUGAAUGGAAGGGCCAUCGCUCAACGGAUAAAAGGUACUCCGGGGAUAACAGGCUGAUACCGCCCAAGAGUUCAUAUCGACGGCGGUGUUUGGCACCUCGAUGUCGGCUCAUCACAUCCUGGGGCUGAAGUAGGUCCCAAGGGUAUGGCUGUUCGCCAUUUAAAGUGGUACGCGAGCUGGGUUUAGAACGUCGUGAGACAGUUCGGUCCCUAUCUGCCGUGGGCGCUGGAGAACUGAGGGGGGCUGCUCCUAGUACGAGAGGACCGGAGUGGACGCAUCACUGGUGUUCGGGUUGUCAUGCCAAUGGCACUGCCCGGUAGCUAAAUGCGGAAGAGAUAAGUGCUGAAAGCAUCUAAGCACGAAACUUGCCCCGAGAUGAGUUCUCCCUGACUCCUUGAGAGUCCUGAAGGAACGUUGAAGACGACGACGUUGAUAGGCCGGGUGUGUAAGCGCAGCGAUGCGUUGAGCUAACCGGUACUAAUGAACCGUGAGGCUUAACCUU